Long non-coding RNA from Sinocyclocheilus anshuiensis, 335 nucleotides. RefSeq lists it as uncharacterized. The transcript is spliced from 3 exons. NCBI's taxonomy places the organism in Eukaryota, Metazoa, Chordata, Actinopteri, Cypriniformes, Cyprinidae. The record is from RefSeq and is a predicted model, not a curated record.
GUACUAAGAGAAAACGUGAUGAUGAACCAACCAGUUCAAGAGUUACCAGUGCGCAGCCUCAGCUGACAACAGAAAAGAUCAUAAUUGAGCAAACAAAGGAGAUCAUGACAAGGGCCAAUGAAAAAAUCCAAGCCACGAAGAACGCAGAUGAAACCAAAAUUGAGCUACACAAUUACAUUGUGGAAGCUAUUUCCAAGAUGAAUGAAAACAACCGUAAGAAGAAAACCAUUGGGGUUUUGGGAGAUUUAGGACAAGGAAAGACCUCAUUGUUAAAUGCAAUCCUGGAGAAAAGAAAUUUGCUGCCAUCUGGUUGUUUUGGUGCCUGUACAGCCGUU